Molecule: ribosomal RNA, 376 nt
Filed under: uncultured organism
Description: partial 16S ribosomal RNA
Rfam family: Bacterial small subunit ribosomal RNA
Source: RNAcentral
GUAGGUGGCAAGCGUUGUCCGGAAUUAUUGGGCGUAAAGCGCGCGCAGGCGGUUCUUUAAGUCUGAUGUGAAAGCCCACGGCUCAACCGUGGAGGGUCAUUGGAAACUGGAGAACUUGAGUACAGAAGAGGAAAGCGGAAUUCCACGUGUAGCGGUGAAAUGCGUAGAGAUGUGGAGGAACACCAGUGGCGAAGGCGGCUUUCUGGUCUGUAACUGACGCUGAGGCGCGAAAGCGUGGGGAGCAAACAGGGAUUAGAUACCCUGGUAGUCCACGCCGUAAACGAUGAGUGCUAAGUGUUAGGGGGGUUUUCCGGCCCCCUUAGUGCUGCAGCUAACGCAUUAAGCACUCCGCCUGGGGAGUACGGCCGCAAGGCUG